RNAcentral lists this transfer RNA (74 nucleotides) under Marmota monax (woodchuck). Its description in RNAcentral is "tRNA.Ala". It matches the Rfam family "tRNA". Rfam says of the family: Transfer RNA (tRNA) molecules are approximately 80 nucleotides in length. Their secondary structure includes four short double-helical elements and three loops (D, anti-codon, and T loops). The record is from RNAcentral. Lineage: Eukaryota; Metazoa; Chordata; Mammalia; Rodentia; Sciuridae.
UGGGGCUAUAGCUCAGUUGGUAGAGUGCAUGUCUUGCAUGCACAAGGCCCUGGGUUCAAUCCCCAAUACCACAA